UCUCUCUCUCCCCUCCUCUCUCUGGAAUCAAUAAAAAACAUUUAAAAACAAAAAACAAAAAUGAUUGCAAACUCCAUGAUGACAGAAACGUAUACUGCUGGUGGUUUGAUUUCAUGCCCCAAGACUGGUCUUCUUUUUGGCUAAAUAAAACCUUUUUCAAAAAACAAGAACAAACAACAAUUCAUUUAAGUCCUUGUUUAACAGAGCCUUGUUCAAAUAACUGUUUGAAACGCCAAAGAGAAAGGGCCGCAAUUUAAACCCCUUUUCUCCCUGGAGGCUUCUCAGCAGAUGUGGAAGUUUACUCACCUCUUUCUUCUGAGCCACUU
This is a long non-coding RNA of Pipistrellus kuhlii (Kuhl's pipistrelle), 326 nucleotides long. RefSeq lists it as uncharacterized. The transcript has 2 exons. The record is from RefSeq and is a predicted model, not a curated record. Lineage: Eukaryota; Metazoa; Chordata; Mammalia; Chiroptera; Vespertilionidae.